CCCUUGCUUUUCUCUUCUCUCUCUCUUCCUUAUUUCUCUCUCCCUCUCGAAACUCUCUUUUCUCUUCAACAAGGAAGACCAACCCCAAAUCUUCAUUGUUCCAGCUUAACAACCUUACGAUUGUGUUCACCUUACCUCCACGAACACAACCAUACCAACCAAACUAAGAAUGGACGAGUUUUGACUCACCAACUUGGAAGGUCCGAACUCGGACGAGUUGAGUUCGACGUGUUUUCAACCGGGUCACGAUGUUUUAGGACUCGGGAAAGCCUCUACGCAACUCCCUAGGGUCCCUAGUCAAGGUUUGAGGAAGCUUUGAUGUGAAACAACUCGGUUUCGAGAAGUUCAAGUUUGACCCGUGCUUUUCGAGCCAAUUUCCAGCCAAACCACGGCGAAUUAGCCGGCAUGCAAGAUAUCAAUCUCUUCGUCUCGCUAAGUACUAUAACUCGUGCGAGAUACCAUUCUCUUCGUCUCUUCGAGAACUACAACUUUCGUUUUUGUUUCACUCGAUUUCGUUGAGUAACGAGGAAGUUGUGAACGUUUAAAGGUUGUGUAUUUUUCCAACCGAAUUUCGGCCUUCAUCUUCCUUUGGGUCCGGCGACCCAUAUGUUGGACUCGGGCCAGGCUUUUAAGCCCUACCCUUUCAAACCCAGGCCCUUGGGGCCGAGUAGAAGAAGGCCUUUGGCCCCUGACUCCAAACCCAAACCCUUAACCCUUUUUAAUUCUUUUGUUUUUAUGUUAUUUGUUAAAUUGAAGGCCUAAACCCCAAACCCAAUCCCUAAAGCCCUAAACCCUUUUAGUUUAGGCCCAGAACCCUUAAGUCCAACAUAUUAAACUAAUCCAACCUAAUAACCCUUAACCUAGAUGAAAUAUUUCGUUAGGGAAUAUCCCAUUUGUCAGAGAAUAUUUCGUCAUUCAGGGAAUAUUCAUCAUGUUGACUUUUGUUUUCUUUUCAGAAAUUUAAGCGGGACCCUUCUUAGGGUAAUUCGACGUCCUGAAUCUGUUUUUGACGUCUGUUUUCCCAAAUUCAAUUUUUAUAAUAUAGUUUUAUUAAUUGUACCUUUAUGUGCUUAAGGGCAAUUAUUAGUGGCAUUUCCAUUCGCUAGGUUGCGUGGCUCGUCAGCGGUGAAAUAUCUGUUUAGUAGCUAUGUUUACGCGUAUACAAGGAUUCUGGCAAAUCUCAUAAGAUGGUUACCUUCAGUGUCCUUGCAGAGCAUUUGAUUAAGACAUGUGUGGUUGAGAGGGGGCAGCUGUUGUAUUGGCAGCAAGAGAGGAUGACCCAGCAGCGAAAUUUGCAGCAGGGAAGGCAACACGUGGGUUGCUGCUAUGGGACCCACGGGAGUGAGGUAAGAAGAUGUCGAUAUGUCUCUAAUUCAUCCCAAAGGCCCUUAAGUUUUGUAAAAUAAGCCGAGACCGUCAUGGAACCUUGUGAGAGAGAUGUGAUGGACUUCUGAAGAUGAUAGAUUGUUGGUGCAUUCUUAUGUGAAAACUAAUUUUGAAAUCUUCCACACACCCUUUUAGACACUUUUGGCUUGAACAACUCCUUUAGAUAAAUCAGAUUCAACUGAUUGAGCAAACCAUGACAAAAUCAUACUAUUGCAUUGAUUUCAGAAAGCAAAUUCUUUUGGUUGACUUGUUGCUGAGGGGGGCUGAAUAGAGCCAUCGAUGAAGCCAAUUUUAUUCUUGGCUGUGAGAUAAAGGAUCAUGGAUUUACUCCAAGAUGGAUACUUGGGACCGUUCAAUUUUUCCGAAAUGAUCAUAUGAUCGGGGUUAUCUGAAUAAUGAACAUAGUAUGGACUUGAUGGAUCGAUGCCGAUACUGCAUUUGUUUUGAUUUUUCUGUGGUUGUGGCAAGGACGGAGCUAGAAAUUUCCUUUAGUGGGGGCAACCCGAAAAUCAAUUAAGAAAACCUUAUUAUAGUAUGGCUUAAUUAUAACCAAUAUGAAAAUAUGGAUGAUUUCAAAUGAUAAUGUAUUACAGUUCCAAUGUUACAAAAAUUUCAGGG
Malus domestica (apple) is the source of this 2004-nucleotide long non-coding RNA. RefSeq lists it as uncharacterized. The record is from RefSeq and is a predicted model, not a curated record. NCBI's taxonomy places the organism in Eukaryota, Viridiplantae, Streptophyta, Magnoliopsida, Rosales, Rosaceae.